UACGAAGGGUGCAAGCGUUACUCGGAAUUACUGGGCGUAAAGCGUGCGUAGGUGGUUUGUUAAGUCUGUUGUGAAAGCCCCGGGCUCAACCUGGGAAUGGCAAUGGAUACUGGCAGGCUAGAGUGCGGUAGAGGGUAGUGGAAUUCCCGGGUGUAGCGGUGAAAUGCGUAGAGAUCGGGGAGGAACACCAGUGGCGAAGGCAGCUCGCUGGGACGUUACUGACGCUGAGACGCGAAAGCGUGGGGGAGCAAACAGG
Molecule: ribosomal RNA, 256 nt
Filed under: uncultured bacterium
Lineage: Bacteria
Description: partial 16S ribosomal RNA
Rfam family: Bacterial small subunit ribosomal RNA
Source: RNAcentral